This 1079-nucleotide ribosomal RNA is filed under the name Vibrio alginolyticus. RNAcentral describes it as "partial 23S ribosomal RNA". It matches the Rfam family "Bacterial large subunit ribosomal RNA", at positions 591 to 1674 of the family's 2925-position model. Lineage: Bacteria; Pseudomonadati; Pseudomonadota; Gammaproteobacteria; Vibrionales; Vibrionaceae. The record is from RNAcentral.
CUGUGACUGCGUACCUUUUGUAUAAUGGGUCAGCGACUUAUAUUCAGUGGCAAGGUUAACCAUCUAGGGGAGCCGUAGGGAAACCGAGUCUUAACUGGGCGUUCAGUCUCUGGAUAUAGACCCGAAACCAGGUGAUCUAGCCAUGGGCAGGUUGAAGGUUGAGUAACAUCAACUGGAGGACCGAACCGACUAAUGUUGAAAAAUUAGCGGAUGACUUGUGGCUAGGGGUGAAAGGCCAAUCAAACCUGGAGAUAGCUGGUUCUCCCCGAAAGCUAUUUAGGUAGCGCCUCGGACGAAUACUACUGGGGGUAGAGCACUGUUAAGGCUAGGGGGUCAUCCCGACUUACCAACCCUUUGCAAACUCCGAAUACCAGUAAGUACUAUCCGGGAGACACACGGCGGGUGCUAACGUCCGUCGUGGAGAGGGAAACAACCCAGACCGCCAGCUAAGGUCCCAAAUUACUACUAAGUGGGAAACGAUGUGGGAAGGCUCAGACAGCCAGGAUGUUGGCUUAGAAGCAGCCAUCAUUUAAAGAAAGCGUAAUAGCUCACUGGUCGAGUCGGCCUGCGCGGAAGAUGUAACGGGGCUAAGUAGUAAACCGAAGCUGCGGCAAUGCACUUUAGUGCAUUGGGUAGGGGAGCGUUCUGUAAGCGGUUGAAGGUGUGUGGUAACGCAUGCUGGACGUAUCAGAAGUGCGAAUGCUGACAUGAGUAACGAUAAAGGGGGUGAAAAACCUCCUCGCCGGAAGACCAAGGGUUCCUGUCCAACGUUAAUCGGGGCAGGGUAAGUCGACCCCUAAGGCGAGGCCGAAAGGCGUAGUCGAUGGGAAACGGGUUAAUAUUCCCGUACUUCUUACAAUUGCGAUGGGGGGACGGAGAAGGCUAGGUGGGCCUGGCGACGGUUGUCCAGGUUCAAGUGCGUAGGCUGAAGAGUUAGGUAAAUCCGGCUCUUUCUAAGGCUGAGACACGACGUCGAGCAUCUACGGAUGUGAAGUCAUUGAUGCCAUGCUUCCAGGAAAAGCCUCUAAGCUUCAGAUUGUAAGGAAUCGUACCCCAAACCGACACAGGUGGUCGGGUAG